UUAACACAUGCAAGUCGAACGAUGAAGCCAGCUUGCUGGUGGAUUAGUGGCGAACGGGUGAGUAACACGUGGGUGAUCUGCCCCAAACUUUGGGAUAAGCCUGGGAAACUGGGUCUAAUACCGAAUAUGACCACGGAAUGCAUGUUUUGUGGUGGAAAGCUCCGGCGGUUUGGGAUGGGCCCGCGGCCUAUCAGCUUGUUGGUGGGGUAAUGGCCUACCAAGGCGACGACGGGUAGCCGGCCUGAGAGGGCGACCGGCCACACUGGGACUGAGACACGGCCCAGACUCCUACGGGAGGCAGCAGUGGGGAAUAUUGCACAAUGGGCGCAAGCCUGAUGCAGCGACGCCGCGUGAGGGAUGACGGCCUUCGGGUUGUAAACCUCUUUCACCAGGGACGAAGCGAAAGUGACGGUACCUGGAGAAGAAGCACCGGCCAACUACGUGCCAGCAGCCGCGGUAAUACGUAGGGUGCGAGCGUUGUCCGGAAUUACUGGGCGUAAAGAGUUCGUAGGCGGUUUGUCGCGUCGUUCGUGAAAACUUGGGGCUUAACUCCAAGCGUGCGGGCGAUACGGGCAGACUUGAGUACUACAGGGGAGACUGGAAUUCCUGGUGUAGCGGUGAAAUGCGCAGAUAUCAGGAGGAACACCGGUGGCGAAGGCGGGUCUCUGGGUAGUAACUGACGCUGAGGAACGAAAGCGUGGGUAGCGAACAGGAUUAGAUACCCUGGUAGUCCACGCUGUAAACGGUGGGUACUAGGUG
Molecule: ribosomal RNA, 759 nt
Filed under: Williamsia sp.
Lineage: Bacteria; Bacillati; Actinomycetota; Actinomycetes; Mycobacteriales; Nocardiaceae
Description: bacterial SSU rRNA
Rfam family: Bacterial small subunit ribosomal RNA
Source: RNAcentral